AGUGAACGCUGGCGGCGUGCCUAAUACAUGCAAGUCGAACGGAAUUUAAAAGAGCUUGCUCUUUUAAAUUUAGUGGCGCACGGGUGAGUAAUAUAUAGCUAAUCUGCCCCUUGCUGGAGGACAACAGUUAGAAAUGACUGCUAAUACUCCAUACUCCUUUUUACCAUAAGAUAAAUCGGGAAAGAAUUUCGGCAAGGGAUGAGACUAUACCGUAUCAGCUAGUCGGUGGGGUAACGGCCUACCGAGGCUAUGACGCGUAACUGGUCUGAGAGGAUGAUCAGUCACAUUGGAACUGAGACACGGUCCAAACUCCUACGGGAGGCAGCAGUAGGGAAUAUUGCGCAAUGGGGGAAACCCUGACGCAGCAACGCCGCGUGGAGGAUGACACUUUUCGGAGCGUAAACUCCUUUUGUUAGGGAAGAAUAAUGACG
This 431-nucleotide ribosomal RNA is filed under the name Campylobacter gracilis. RNAcentral's name for it is "bacterial SSU rRNA". It matches the Rfam family "Bacterial small subunit ribosomal RNA", at positions 29 to 457 of the family's 1533-position model. Lineage: Bacteria; Pseudomonadati; Campylobacterota; Epsilonproteobacteria; Campylobacterales; Campylobacteraceae. The record is from RNAcentral.